RNAcentral lists this ribosomal RNA (429 nucleotides) under Pseudomonadota bacterium. RNAcentral's name for it is "Proteobacteria bacterium partial 16S ribosomal RNA". It matches the Rfam family "Bacterial small subunit ribosomal RNA", at positions 355 to 776 of the family's 1533-position model. The record is from RNAcentral. Lineage: Bacteria; Pseudomonadati; Pseudomonadota.
UGGGGAAUAUUGGACAAUGGGCGAAAGCCUGAUCCAGCCAUGCCGCGUGUGUGAAGAAGGUCUUCGGAUUGUAAAGCACUUUAAGUUGGGAGGAAGGGCAGUAAGCGAAUACCUUGCUGUUUUGACGUUACCGACAGAAUAAGCACCGGCUAACUCUGUGCCAGCAGCCGCGGUAAUACAGAGGGUGCAAGCGUUAAUCGGAAUUACUGGGCGUAAAGCGCGCGUAGGUGGUUCGUUAAGUUGAAUGUGAAAGCCCCGGGCUCAACCUGGGAACUGCAUCCAAAACUGGCAAGCUGGCGUAGGGCAGAGGGUGGUGGAAUUGCCUGUGUGGCGGUGAAAUGCGUAGAUAUAGGAAGGAACACCAGUGGCGAAGGCGACCACCUGGGCUCAUACUGACACUGAAGUGCGAAAGCGUGGGGAGCAAACAGG